Canis lupus familiaris (dog) is the source of this 1167-nucleotide long non-coding RNA. RefSeq lists it as uncharacterized. NCBI's taxonomy places the organism in Eukaryota, Metazoa, Chordata, Mammalia, Carnivora, Canidae. The record is from RefSeq and is a predicted model, not a curated record. The transcript is spliced from 2 exons.
CGGUCGGGAGGGGGCGGGGGGCGCUCCGGGGCAGGCCCCUCGGGGAGAUCCCGCAGCCUCGGCCCCGCCAGCCCGGGUGUCCCACGGGUCCCGCGCACCCGCACCGCGGCUGCCCCGGAAUGCGCUGCUUGCACAACUGUUGCGCUGCGGAGGGUGUAUUUUCCGCUUUUGUCCCCCUGCCCGGGGACCCCUUUCCCGUCUUCGUUUCCCUUUUACAUUUUCACCCUCUCCCUUGUCGACUUUGUUUUCAGGCUUAUUGAUUCAACAGAUAGGUGUCCUGCCCCUGCCCACGCGUUGGUGGGAGCGUGGUUGGUGGAAACGGACCGUGCUUCGGAGGCAAGAUCCAUCAGCCAUCGCACUCUGGUUCUGAUAGCCUCUGUGUAACCUUGGACAAGUUCUUUAACCUUGCUGAACCUCCGGUUCUUUGCCCUAUGUUUGGUUUUGGUUAUUUUGACUUAUGCUUUUAUAUCUGAAAUUGUUCUGGAUGUUUUGGUGUGUGUGUGUGUGUGUAAAAUUCUGUCCCUAGGCUAAGGUCACUCUUGAUCCUGUACACCAUUACCAGCUGUGUGACCUGCAGCAAAUCACCGCCUUCCUAUGCCUUGAUUUCCCCGUCUUUAAAAUGAGCAUGAUUACAGAUGAUAACUAAUAGUGAUAAUAACAGUUAUAGGUCUAAAUGCUAGACCCAGCUAUCCAGGGGAAUCAUUUGUCAUUCGUCUUCGAAUCCCCAGAACUUCACACACGGCAGAAGCAAAGUAUUUGUUGAAGGAAUGAAUUGAUGAAUGAAUGAGUAAACUCUCCUGGGCCCUGAGAAUUGACAGUCCUGUAUAUCUCCCUCUUUCUUCCUUCUUGACUACCUGCAGGAGGUGGCAUGAACUCACAAAAGAGCACAAGCUCGAGAGUCAGACCUGAGUUUGAAUCUCAGCUUUGCCACACUCCAUCACAAGACGUUGGGCAAGUUACCCAACAUUGCUCAGCCUCAGUUUCCUUGUCUGCAAAACGGAGCCAGUAGUAACCUCCCUGCAAUGUCUGUAGAGCGCCUGGUACCUGGGGGGUCCUCAAGAAAUGAUAGCUGUUGUGUUAUUCCUUUAAGUCAAGGGUAGGCAAACUGCAACCCAUGGGCCCCAUCAUCUUUGUAAAUAAAAUUUUAUUGGAACAGACUUUUUUUUA